GACGGGGACCCGCACAAGCAGCGGAGCAUGUGGUUUAAUUCGAAGCAACGCGAAGAACCUUACCAGGGCUUGACAUCCCUCUGACAGGACCUUAACCGGUCCCUUCUUCGGACAGAGGUGACAGGUGGUGCAUGGUUGUCGUCAGCUCGUGUCGUGAGAUGUUGGGUUAAGUCCCGCAACGAGCGCAACCCUUGUCAUUAGUUGCCAUCAUUAAGUUGGGCACUCUAAUGAGACUGCCGGGGACAACUCGGAGGAAGGUGGGGAUGACGUCAAAUCAUCAUGCCCCUUAUGUUCUGGGCUACACACGUGCUACAAUGGUCGGUACAACGAGAAGCGAGACCGCGAGGUGGAGCAAAUCUUUUAAAACCGGCCCCAGUUCGGAUUGCAGGCUGCAACUCGCCUGCAUGAAGUCGGAGUUGCUAGUAAUCGCGGAUCAGAAUGCCGCGGUGAAUGCGUUCCCGGGUCUUGUACACACCGCCCGUCACACCAUGGAAGUUGGGGGCGCCCGAAGUUGGUCAAGAAAUAGAUUACCUAAGGCGAAACCAAUGACUGGGGUGAAGUCGUAACAAGGUAG
RNAcentral lists this ribosomal RNA (574 nucleotides) under uncultured bacterium. RNAcentral describes it as "bacterial SSU rRNA". It matches the Rfam family "Bacterial small subunit ribosomal RNA", at positions 912 to 1499 of the family's 1533-position model. The record is from RNAcentral.